UAUAAUCACGACAUCGUGGAAAUAUCAAAUCUCGGAGCCUUGGGAUGAGCCUGCGUCUGAUUAGGUAGUUGGCGGAGUAAUAGGCCCACCAAGCCUACGAUCAGUAGCUGGUCUGAGAGGAUGAUCAGCCACACUGGAACUGAGACACGGUCCAGACUCCUACGGGAGGCAGCAGUAAGGAAUAUUGCUCAAUGGGGGAAACCCUGAAGCAGCAACGCCGCGUGAAGGAUGAAAUACUUUGUAUGUAAACUUCUGUAAGAUGGGAAAAAUAUUCUCCUCGGGAGAAUUGAUUGUACCAUCAGAGUAAGCCCCGGCUAACUACGUG
Molecule: ribosomal RNA, 325 nt
Filed under: uncultured bacterium
Lineage: Bacteria
Description: bacterial SSU rRNA
Rfam family: Bacterial small subunit ribosomal RNA
Source: RNAcentral